AUUGAACGCUGGCGGCAUGCCUUACACAUGCAAGUCGAACGGCAGCACGGAUGCUUGCACCUGGUGGCGAGUGGCGAACGGGUGAGUAAUACAUCGGAACGUACCUUAUCGUGGGGGAUAACGUAGCGAAAGCUGUGCUAAUACCGCAUACGCGCCGAGGGGGAAAGCGGGGGAUCGAAAGACCUCGCGCGAUUAGAGCGGCCGAUGCCUGAUUAGCUUGUUGGUGGGGUAAAAGCCCACCAAGGCGACGAUCAGUAGCUGGUCUGAGAGGACGAUCAGCCACACUGGGACUGAGACACGGCCCAGACUCCUACGGGAGGCAGCAGUGGGGAAUUUUGGACAAUGGGGGCAACCCUGAUCCAGCAAUGCCGCGUGAGUGAAGAAGGCCUUCGGGUUGUAAAGCUCUUUUGUCAGGGAAGAAACACCGGCUCUAACACAGUCCGGGAAUGACGGUACCUGAAGAAUAAGCACUGGCUAACUACGUGCCAGCAGCCGCAGUAA
RNAcentral lists this ribosomal RNA (501 nucleotides) under uncultured bacterium. RNAcentral describes it as "partial 16S ribosomal RNA". It matches the Rfam family "Bacterial small subunit ribosomal RNA", at positions 30 to 523 of the family's 1533-position model. The record is from RNAcentral.